RNAcentral lists this unclassified non-coding RNA (172 nucleotides) under Glomeromycotina sp. RNAcentral describes it as "partial contains small subunit ribosomal RNA, internal transcribed spacer 1, and 5.8S ribosomal RNA". The stretch from base 1 to 47 matches the Rfam family "Eukaryotic small subunit ribosomal RNA", at positions 1785 to 1831 of the family's 1831-position model. Lineage: Eukaryota; Fungi; Glomeromycota. The record is from RNAcentral.
AAAGUCGUAACAAGGUUUCCGUAGGUGAACCUGCGGAAGGAUCAUUAAUGAUUUGGCGAACCGAAAGGUUCUGCGAUCACUUGUAUUUAAAACCCACACUUUUUAAAAUGUAUAUUUUUUAUAUUGUAUGAUAAAUUAAAGAUCACUUUCAACAACGGAUCUCUUGGCUCUC